Molecule: unclassified non-coding RNA, 540 nt
Filed under: Botrytis deweyae
Lineage: Eukaryota; Fungi; Ascomycota; Leotiomycetes; Helotiales; Sclerotiniaceae
Description: sequence contains 18S rRNA gene, ITS1, 5.8S rRNA gene, ITS2 and 28S rRNA gene
Source: RNAcentral
UUCCUCCGCUUAUUGAUAUGCUUAAGUUCAGCGGGUAUCCCUACCUGAUCCGAGGUCAACCAUAGAAAAUUUGGGUUUUGGCAGAAGCACACCGAGAACCUGUAACGAGAGAUAUUACUACGUUCAGGACCCAGCGGCGCCGCCACUGAUUUUAGAGCCUGCCAUUACUGACAUAGACUCAAUACCAAGCUAAGCUUGAGGGUUGAAAUGACGCUCGAACAGGCAUGCCCCCCGGAAUACCAAGGGGCGCAAUGUGCGUUCAAAGAUUCGAUGAUUCACUGAAUUCUGCAAUUCACAUUACUUAUCGCAUUUCGCUGCGUUCUUCAUCGAUGCCAGAACCAAGAGAUCCGUUGUUGAAAGUUUUAACUAUUAUAUAGUACUCAGACGACAUUAAUAAAAAGAGUUUUGGUUUUCUCUGGCGAGCAUACAAGGCCCGAAGGCAGCUCGCCAAAGCAACAAAGUAAUAAUACACAAGGGUGGGAGGUCUACCCUUUCGGGCAUGAACUCUGUAAUGAUCCUUCCGCAGGUUCACCUACGGAA